GCUGGGUACGGAGGCGCAUGCCUGUAAUCCCAACACCUUGGGAGGCAGAGGUGGGUGGAUCACUUGAGGUCAGGAGUUCAAGACCAGUCUGACCAACAUGGUGAAAACCCAUCUCUA
This is an unclassified non-coding RNA of Macaca fascicularis (crab-eating macaque), 117 nucleotides long. It matches the Rfam family "Metazoan signal recognition particle RNA". From Rfam's summary of the family: The signal recognition particle (SRP) is a universally conserved ribonucleoprotein. The record is from Ensembl. NCBI's taxonomy places the organism in Eukaryota, Metazoa, Chordata, Mammalia, Primates, Cercopithecidae.